RNAcentral lists this ribosomal RNA (1489 nucleotides) under Lactiplantibacillus argentoratensis. Its description in RNAcentral is "bacterial SSU rRNA". It matches the Rfam family "Bacterial small subunit ribosomal RNA". The record is from RNAcentral. Lineage: Bacteria; Bacillati; Bacillota; Bacilli; Lactobacillales; Lactobacillaceae.
GACGAACGCUGGCGGCGUGCCUAAUACAUGCAAGUCGAACGAACUCUGGUAUUGAUUGGUGCUUGCAUCAUGAUUUACAUUUGAGUGAGUGGCGAACUGGUGAGUAACACGUGGGAAACCUGCCCAGAAGCGGGGGAUAACACCUGGAAACAGAUGCUAAUACCGCAUAACAACUUGGACCGCAUGGUCCGAGCUUGAAAGAUGGCUUCGGCUAUCACUUUUGGAUGGUCCCGCGGCGUAUUAGCUAGAUGGUGGGGUAACGGCUCACCAUGGCAAUGAUACGUAGCCGACCUGAGAGGGUAAUCGGCCACAUUGGGACUGAGACACGGCCCAAACUCCUACGGGAGGCAGCAGUAGGGAAUCUUCCACAAUGGACGAAAGUCUGAUGGAGCAACGCCGCGUGAGUGAAGAAGGGUUUCGGCUCGUAAAACUCUGUUGUUAAAGAAGAACAUAUCUGAGAGUAACUGUUCAGGUAUUGACGGUAUUUAACCAGAAAGCCACGGCUAACUACGUGCCAGCAGCCGCGGUAAUACGUAGGUGACAAGCGUUGUCCGGAUUUAUUGGGCGUAAAGCGAGCGCAGGCGGUUUUUUAAGUCUGAUGUGAAAGCCUUCGGCUCAACCGAAGAAGUGCAUCGGAAACUGGGAAACUUGAGUGCAGAAGAGGACAGUGGAACUCCAUGUGUAGCGGUGAAAUGCGUAGAUAUAUGGAAGAGCACCAGUGGCGAAGGCGGCUGUCUGGUCUGUAACUGACGCUGAGGCUCGAAAGUAUGGGUAGCAAACAGGAUUAGAUACCCUGGUAGUCCAUACCGUAAACGAUGAAUGCUAAGUGUUGGAGGGUUUCCGCCCUUCAGUGCUGCAGCUAACGCAUUAAGCAUUCCGCCUGGGGAGUACGGCCGCAAGGCUGAAACUCAAAGGAAUUGACGGGGGCCCGCACAAGCGGUGGAGCAUGUGGUUUAAUUCGAAGCUACGCGAAGAACCUUACCAGGUCUUGACAUACUAUGCAAAUCUAAGAGAUUAGACGUUCCCUUCGGGGACAUGGAUACAGGUGGUGCAUGGUUGUCGUCAGCUCGUGUCGUGAGAUGUUGGGUUAAGUCCCGCAACGAGCGCAACCCUUAUUAUCAGUUGCCAGCAUUAAGUUGGGCACUCUGGUGAGACUGCCGGUGACAAACCGGAGGAAGGUGGGGAUGACGUCAAAUCAUCAUGCCCCUUAUGACCUGGGCUACACACGUGCUACAAUGGAUGGUACAACGAGUUGCGAACUCGCGAGAGUAAGCUAAUCUCUUAAAGCCAUUCUCAGUUCGGAUUGUAGGCUGCAACUCGCCUACAUGAAGUCGGAAUCGCUAGUAAUCGCGGAUCAGCAUGCCGCGGUGAAUACGUUCCCGGGCCUUGUACACACCGCCCGUCACACCAUGAGAGUUUGUAACACCCAAAGUCGGUGGGGUAACCUUUUAGGAACCAGCCGUCUAAGGUGGGACAGAUGAUUAGGGUG